CCCGUUGCACACACCGCCCGUCACACCACGAAAGUGGUCUUAACCAGAAGUGGGUGAGCUAACCGCAAGGGGGCAGCCCACCAAGGUUGAGGCCGUGAUUGGGGUG
RNAcentral lists this ribosomal RNA (106 nucleotides) under uncultured bacterium. Its description in RNAcentral is "partial 16S ribosomal RNA". It matches the Rfam family "Bacterial small subunit ribosomal RNA", at positions 1377 to 1482 of the family's 1533-position model. The record is from RNAcentral.